This 1306-nucleotide ribosomal RNA is filed under the name uncultured bacterium. Its description in RNAcentral is "bacterial SSU rRNA". It matches the Rfam family "Bacterial small subunit ribosomal RNA", at positions 28 to 1381 of the family's 1533-position model. The record is from RNAcentral.
AACGUACGCUGGCGGCACGCCUAACACAUGCAAGUCGAACGAAGUAGCAAUACUUAGUGGCAGACGGGUGAGUAACAUGUAGGUAUCUGCCCUUUGGCCUGGAAUAACACGAGGAAACUUGUGCUAAUACCGGAUAAGUCUUUACGGAGAAAGCUUUAUGCACCAUUGGAUGAGCCUGCACUUGAUUAGUUUGUUGGUGGGGUAAUGGCCUACCAAGACUGUGAUCAAUAGCUGAUUUGAGAGGAUGAUCAGCCACAUUGGGACUGAGACACGGCCCAAACUCCUACGGGAGGCAGCAGUGGGGAAUCUUGCACAGUGGAGGAAACUCUGAUGCAGCGAUGCCGCGUGAGUGAAGAAGGCCUUUGGGUUGUAAAGCUCUUUCGUCGGGGAAGAAAAUGACUGUACCCGAAUAAGAAGGUCCGGCUAACUUCGUGCCAGCAGCCGCGGUAAUACGAAGGGACCUAGCGUAGUUCGGAAUUACUGGGCUUAAAGAGUUCGUAGGUGGUUGAAAUAGUUGGUGGUGAAAUCCCAGAGCUUAACUCUGGAACUGCCAUCAAAACUUUUCAGCUAGAGUAUGAUAGAGGAAAGCAGAAUUUCUAGUGUAGAGGUGAAAUUCGUAGAUAUUAGAAAGAAUACCAAUUGCGAAGGCAGCUUUCUGGAUCAUUACUGACACUGAGGAACGAAAGCAUGGGUAGCGAAGAGGAUUAGAUACCCUCGUAGUCCAUGCCGUAAACGAUGUGUGUUAGACGUUGGAAAUUUAUUUUCAGUGUCGCAGGGAAACCGAUAAACACACCGCCUGGGGAGUACGACCGCAAGGUUAAAACUCAAAUGAAUUGACGGGGACCCGCACAAGUAGUGGAGCAUGUGGUUUAAUUCGAAGAUACGCGCAGAACCUUACCAACACUUGACAUGUUCGUCGCGACUCUAAGAGAUUAGAGUUUUCGGUUCGGCCGGACGAAACACAGGUGCUGCAUGGCUGUCGUCAGCUCGUGUCGUGAGAUGUUGGGUUAAGUCCCGCAACGAGCGCAACCCUCACUUUUAGUUGCCAUCAUUAAGUUGGGCACUCUGAAAGAACUGCCAGUGAUAAGCUGGAGGAAGGUGGGGAUGACGUCAAGUCCUCAUGGCCCUUACGUGUUGGGCUACACACGUGCUACAAUGGUAUCUACAACAGGAAGCAAAACUGCGAAGUUAAGCAAAUCCCUAAAAGAUACCUCAGUUCGGAUUGCACUCUGCAACUCGAGUGCAUGAAGCUGGAAUUACUAGUAAUCGUGGAUCAGCGUGCCACGGUGAAUGCGUUCCCGGGUCU